RNAcentral lists this ribosomal RNA (372 nucleotides) under uncultured Thauera sp. RNAcentral describes it as "bacterial SSU rRNA". It matches the Rfam family "Bacterial small subunit ribosomal RNA", at positions 1010 to 1382 of the family's 1533-position model. The record is from RNAcentral. Lineage: Bacteria; Pseudomonadati; Pseudomonadota; Betaproteobacteria; Rhodocyclales; Zoogloeaceae.
ACGUUUCACCUCGGGUGACAGGGAGACAGGUGGUGCAUGGUUGUCGUCAGCUCGUGUCGUGAGAUUGUUGGGUUAAGUCCCGCAACGAGCGCAACCUUGUCAUUAGUUGCCAUCAUUUAGUUGGGCACUCUAAUGAGACUGCCGGUGACAAACCGGAGGAAGGUGGGGAUGACGUCAAGUCCUCAUGGCCCUUAUGGGUAGGGCUUCACACGUCAUACAAUGGUCGGUACAGAGGGUUGCCAAGCCGCGAGGUGGAGCCAAUCCCUUAAAGCCGAUCGUAGUCCGGAUCGUAGUCUGCAACUCGACUACGUGAAGUCGGAAUCGCUAGUAAUCGCAGAUCAGCAUGCUGCGGUGAAUACGUUCCCGGGUCUU